Molecule: ribosomal RNA, 268 nt
Filed under: uncultured bacterium
Lineage: Bacteria
Description: partial 16S ribosomal RNA
Rfam family: Bacterial small subunit ribosomal RNA
Source: RNAcentral
UACGUAGGGUGCAAGCGUUAAUCGGAAUUACUGGGCGUAAAGCGUGCGCAGGCGGUUUUGUAAGUCUGUCGUGAAAUCCCCGGGCUCAACCUGGGAAUUGCGAUGGAGACUGCAAGGCUAGAAUCUGGCAGAGGGGGGUAGAAUUCCACGUGUAGCAGUGAAAUGCGUAGAGAUGUGGAGGAACACCGAUGGCGAAGGCAGCCCCCUGGGUCAAGAUUGACGCUCAUGCACGAAAGCGUGGGGAGCAAACAGGAUUACGAAACCCGGG